This 493-nucleotide ribosomal RNA is filed under the name uncultured bacterium. RNAcentral's name for it is "partial 16S ribosomal RNA". It matches the Rfam family "Bacterial small subunit ribosomal RNA", at positions 29 to 507 of the family's 1533-position model. The record is from RNAcentral.
ACGAACGCUGGCGGCGUGCUUAACACAUGCAAGUCGAACGGUGAAGCGCCUUCCUUUUUGGUGGGUGUGGAUGAGUGGCGAACGGGUGAGUAACACGUGAGUAACCUGCCCCCUUCUUCUGGAUAACCGCAUGAAAGUGUGGCUAAUACGGGAUAUUCUGGGUCUGUCGCAUGAUGGGUCUGGGAAAGAUAUUGUUUCGGUGGGGGAUGGGCUCGCGGCCUAUCAGCUUGUUGGUGGGGUGAUGGCCUACCAAGGCGGUGACGGGUAGCCGGCCUGAGAGGGUGGACGGUCACACUGGGACUGAGACACGGCCCAGACUCCUACGGGAGGCAGCAGUGGGGAAUAUCGCACAAUGGGCGCAAGCCUGAUGCAGCGACGCCGCGUGAGGGAUGGAGGCCUUCGGGUUGUGAACCUCUUUCGCCAGUGAAGCAGGCCUGCCUCGUUUGUGGGUGGGUUGACGGUAGCUGGAUAAGAAGCGCCGGCUAACUACGUG